AAACACGAUAUUGGGCUUGUGGGCCUUGAGCCCAAGCCCAAGCCCAUUUGAAACAAACCCUAGUAUUUAAAUGCAAUGCAACCCUAAUUCUCAUUUUAUGCCAGCCGCUACAUCUGUUCCUCACAUCAUCCUUGUCUGCAACUCAAGAAUUAAACACUCACACACACAUAAACAUAGGUUUAGAAGCCCCAUCUCUUCACUUGUCAAAACCCAACCCACCCGCACACCGGCUACCUUCGAUCAGUGACACGGCCGCCCACCACCACCAUCACCGUCUGGUGGUGGUGCGACGAUAAACGGAGAAAGAGAGAGGUGGAGUCCAGCGAUUUUUCCGAUAAGGUAUCCCCCACACACCACACAUAUCACUGAAAUGAGAGAGAGGCGGCGUCACCGGUGGAAUUCCGGCGACGACACAAACGGCGGAUGGCGGCGGUGAUUUCUGUUCGUUCUCCAGCCAUUUGUUUGAUGAAGAAGAUGAUGGCCAAUCGAUGAUGAUGAGACGAUGCGGUGAUUGAUGAUGAUCUGCUGUUGAAGUCAGUGAUGUUGAUGACGAUGAUGUUGCUGAAGAUGUGAUUUUCUUCGGUCACGACCGAUUAAGGAUCAGGUUGGGUUUGUUUUGAGUUUGGUUCGGGUAGUAACGAGUUGGUGGUUGGUGAUGGGUUCAAGGCAGCGACGAUGAUGGUGGAUUUCGACGGUCACUUAUAAAAACCCCUCUCCAGUUUAUUAUCUUUUGUGUUUCUUGCUGAAGAAUGAUAAAGAUGAUCACAUACAUCAUAUUUCAAGUGCUGGUUCAAGUAUAGUUCGGGUCAGCUCAGUGUAGUUCAGGUCUCGAUAUCUCGGGUUAGUUAUGGUUUGAGCUUCUCGAUUCAACAGUUUUGGCUCGGUUUUGGGACACGGUCAAGGUCAGUCAACUAGUCAAAGCCAGUCAAUGAUUAACACUCGGGUCAACAGCAGGUUCUCAGGUCAACGCGUGACCCGGUAAAGUUUAGCGACGCAAAAAUCUAGUUAUUUUGAUAUAGAGUCUUAGAUUUUAUUAUAGUUAUACGCGACCGAGCUCGACCCGUUUCGACUAGAUAUUGGUUACGUUCUUGAUACAUUUGAUGAAAACUAUAUUAAGUUGAUUAUUUUGGUUGAA
Molecule: long non-coding RNA, 1135 nt
Organism: Helianthus annuus (common sunflower)
Lineage: Eukaryota; Viridiplantae; Streptophyta; Magnoliopsida; Asterales; Asteraceae
Exons: 2
Source: RefSeq, a predicted model, not a curated record